UACAAGUAAUGGCCGAAACUGAGAUCUACAAUAUUUACUCUCCUUAUCAGCCUCCACAGGUCUGCUAGUGUAUUCCUCAUCACUUCAAACUUCACAACCGCUUCAGUAUAGAAUCUUCCUACAAAACAUGGAUCAUACGACUCUUGUUGUUCAGGGACAAGUUCAGUUAAGUCCCAGCUUCAAUCCUCCUCCUCUAUGAUCGACAACGACGCCAUGCCAUCCACCAUAUCCAUCGGUCACCCUUUACGUGCCAAUUGAUAGACUAUUUAGAGAAACAACCAUAACUUAUCUGUGGUGCAAAAAGAUCU
Molecule: long non-coding RNA, 308 nt
Filed under: Carica papaya (papaya)
Lineage: Eukaryota; Viridiplantae; Streptophyta; Magnoliopsida; Brassicales; Caricaceae
Description: long non-coding RNA (CPAP_LNC015878)
Source: RNAcentral